UGGUAUCAGAGCCGAAGCCUCGUCCCUCUGGUCCGGUGGUGGGGCAAACCUCAACGUGGGCGUUGAGUCCCUUAGGGGGGGGUGAGCGGUGGCUGGUCACUCUGGGGAUACCAGUGCACUCACCUUAGGCAAAUCCCACAUCGGCUAAGCACGAGGAGGAAGUGAUGUACAUAGGUGCUAACAGUCUAGAACAUGGUAUACGCGUUUUGGGUGGGUUGAAAAGCCUGCCUGAAAACAAAACCGUGCGGGUCUGCGUGGCCCAAAGCGGACAAUAUAUACCAUGGGCUGGGCCGUUACAUUUGGUAUCAGAGCCGAAGCCUCGUCCCUCUGGUCCGGUGGUGGGGCAAACCUCAACGUGGGCGUUGAGUCCCUUAGGGGGGGGUGAGCGGUGGCUGGUCACUCUGGGGAUACCAGUGCACUCACCUUAGGCAAAUCCCACAUCGGCUAAGCACGAGGAGGAAGUGAUGUACAUAGGUGCUAACAGUCUAGAACAUGGUAUACGCGUUUUGGGUGGGUUGAAAAGCCUGCCUGAAAACAAAACCGUGCGGGUCUGCGUGGCCCAAAGCGGACAAUAUAUACCAUGGGCUGGGCCGUUACAUUUGGUAUCAGAGCCGAAGCCUCGUCCCUCUGGUCCGGUGGUGGGGCAAACCUCAACGUGGGCGUUGAGUCCCUUAGGGGGGGGUGAGCGGUGGCUGGUCACUCUGGGGAUACCAGUGCACUCACCUUAGGCAAAUCCCACAUCGGCUAAGCACGAGGAGGAAGUGAUGUACAUAGGUGCUAACAGUCUAGAACAUGGUAUACGCGUUUUGGGUGGGUUGAAAAGCCUGCCUGAAAACAAAACCGUGCGGGUCUGCGUGGCCCAAAGCGGACAAUAUAUACCAUGGGCUGGGCCGUUACAUUUGGUAUCAGAGCCGAAGCCUCGUCCCUCUGGUCCGGUGGUGGGGCAAACCUCAACGUGGGCGUUGAGUCCCUUAGGGGGGGGUGAGCGGUGGCUGGUCACUCUGGGGAUACCAGUGCACUCACCUUAGGCAAAUCCCACAUCGGCUAAGCACGAGGAGGAAGUGAUGUACAUAGGUGCUAACAGUCUAGAACAUGGUAUACGCGUUUUGGGUGGGUUGAAAAGCCUGCCUGAAAACAAAACCGUGCGGGUCUGCGUGGCCCAAAGCGGACAAUAUAUACCAUGGGCUGGGC
This 1191-nucleotide long non-coding RNA is filed under the name Jatropha curcas. RNAcentral describes it as "long non-coding RNA (JCUR_LNC003269)". Lineage: Eukaryota; Viridiplantae; Streptophyta; Magnoliopsida; Malpighiales; Euphorbiaceae. The record is from RNAcentral.